GACGAACGCUGGCGGCGUGCUUAACACAUGCAAGUCGAACGGAAAGGCCCUGCUUUUGUGGGGUGCUCGAGUGGCGAACGGGUGAGUAACACGUGAGUAACCUGCCCUUGACUUUGGGAUAACUUCAGGAAACUGGGGCUAAUACCGGAUAGGAGCUCCUGCUGCAUGGUGGGGGUUGGAAAGUUUCGGCGGUUGGGGAUGGACUCGCGGCUUAUCAGCUUGUUGGUGGGGUAGUGGCUUACCAAGGCUUUGACGGGUAGCCGGCCUGAGAGGGUGACCGGCAAAAUGGGGACUGGGAUACGGCCCAGACCCCUCGGGGGGGCAGAGGUGGGGAAUAUUGCCAAAGGGGGGGAACCCUGAUGCAGCAACGCCGGGUGGGGGAUGACGGCCUUGGGGUUGUAAACCGCUUUCGCCUGUGGCGAAGGGGGGGGGACGGUAAGGGGUAAAGAAGCCCCGGCUAACUACGU
Molecule: ribosomal RNA, 467 nt
Filed under: uncultured bacterium
Lineage: Bacteria
Description: partial 16S ribosomal RNA
Rfam family: Bacterial small subunit ribosomal RNA
Source: RNAcentral